GACGAACGCUGGCGGCGUGCUUAACACAUGCAAGUCGAACGGUGAAGCGCCUUCCUUUUUGGUGGGUGUGGAUGAGCGGCGAACGGGUGAGUAACACGUGAGUAACCUGCCCCCUACUUCUGGAUAACCGCAUGAAAGUGUGGCUAAUACGGGAUAUUCUGGGUCUGUCGCAUGAUGGGUCUGGGAAAGAUAUUGUUUCGGUGGGGGAUGGGCUCGCGGCCUAUCAGCUUGUUGGUGGGGUGAUGGCCUACCAAGGCGGUGACGGGUAGCCGGCCUGAGAGGAGGCGGCGACACCACGGCAGAGAAACACGGCCCAGGUUCAUGCGGGAGGUGACAUGCUGGAUUAUCAACCGAUGGGCGCUACUCUGAGGCAGCGGCGUCGCGUGGGGGACGGCGGCCUUCGGGUUGUAAAGCACUUUCGCGAGUGAAGCCGGCCUGCCUUGUUUCUAGGUGAGUUGACGGUAGCUGAUUAAGCAGCGCCGGCUAACUACGUG
This 494-nucleotide ribosomal RNA is filed under the name uncultured bacterium. RNAcentral describes it as "partial 16S ribosomal RNA". It matches the Rfam family "Bacterial small subunit ribosomal RNA", at positions 28 to 507 of the family's 1533-position model. The record is from RNAcentral.